Molecule: non-coding RNA, 168 nt
Filed under: Oligoflexia bacterium
Lineage: Bacteria; Pseudomonadati; Bdellovibrionota; Oligoflexia
Description: 6S / SsrS RNA
Rfam family: 6S / SsrS RNA
About the family: E. coli 6S RNA was the first non coding RNA to be sequenced, but its function was unknown until recently. It consists of 184 nucleotides that fold into an extended hairpin structure with a large single-stranded internal bulge.
Source: Rfam by way of RNAcentral
GGUGCUCUGGGGGUCGUCAUUUUAUCAUUUGGACCCUACAGUCAAAUGCCCAGGGGGCUGUCCCUGUCAGCGGUGUGCAAGCCUGGUUUUCCAGGAAGCCUAAAACUGACAUACGGUGCCCACUUUUAAACUUGGGUUCCAUUGACACUGGCGGUUUCCAGAGCACAA